CCCACAUUCUGGGGUGGGACCUGAUUGGGCUCCUUGAUCACAUCUAUCCCGGAAAACAAUCCUUGUAGCCAACAGGUUGUAGCACGCUGACACAUCCCACUCAAAACACAUGGACUGAGAACUGGGGAGGACGAAGAGCAGCCGCUGUGUCUCACAGAGAUCUGGGAGAAAAGGGUGUCCCAGGUUAGGAUUUGGGUGUUCUUGGCAUCCUCAGCGCCAUUGAAAUGCCAAUUUGAUCAAAUCUCCACAUCCCAAAGGUGCUACUUCUGCUCUUUCAACCUGUCUUUAAUGCUCUUAGCCUUGGGUUCUGCAUUAAUGUUUAUGUUGGCUGGACACAGGGGCUCACGCCUGUAAUCCCAGCACCUUGGGAGGCCGAAGCGAGUGGAUCACUUGAGGUCAGGAGUUCAAGGCCAGCAUGGCCAACAUGGUGAAACCCCUU
This 439-nucleotide long non-coding RNA is filed under the name Homo sapiens (human). Its description in RNAcentral is "HSALNT0001391". The record is from RNAcentral. Lineage: Eukaryota; Metazoa; Chordata; Mammalia; Primates; Hominidae.